Molecule: long non-coding RNA, 311 nt
Organism: Cornus florida
Lineage: Eukaryota; Viridiplantae; Streptophyta; Magnoliopsida; Cornales; Cornaceae
Exons: 2
Source: RefSeq, a predicted model, not a curated record
GCGUAAUACUAUUGCUGAUUGAAUUUGGAAUUCUCUUUAGCACUUUUGAUCCUUCUGAAAGUGAUGAUAUGAAGUGUGUUGAUGCUCUCUUAAAGGCCACAUGUGCUGUUAUGAAGAUGAUGUAUCGUUGCCAUUGUCAUCCACUUUAUGAACUUCUUAUCAAUUUUUACUGACAACUAUGUAUUGUUAAUGCUUUGUUCCAAACAUUUUAUGUACAACUUAAACUUGUUUAAUUUGUUGGUUGAAUAUUUAAAGACUUGUAAAUGGUAUACACUCUAUUUCAAUUAUGCUUUCAGUUGGGUUUGUUUUUA